This is a long non-coding RNA of Oreochromis aureus, 916 nucleotides long. The record is from Ensembl. NCBI's taxonomy places the organism in Eukaryota, Metazoa, Chordata, Actinopteri, Cichliformes, Cichlidae.
CCCCUAUGAGCAAGCACUUUGGCGACAGUGGGAAGGAAAAACUCCCUUUUAACAGGAAGAAACCUCCGGCAGAACCAGGCUCAGGGAGGGGCGGCCAUCUGCUGCGACCGGUUUGCACGUCCUCUCCCAUUAAUACGGCAGGUGACCAUGAUGAGAGAGACAGACAGAGUCUGGCUGGCAGUUCUCGCUGCAGUCUACCGGUAGCGUCUUCUUUCAGGCCAGGAUAGACGAACGUCACCGAGCAGUGACUAAGUUUGUGGUCAAAGUCUUGCACCCAUUUGCCACAGCAGAUGCCCCCGAUUUUUGGUAUGUCGUGUAGUGAGCAUCAGCCAAAAUAGGGAAGCAACUUUAGCAACUCCUGAAUGUAAUAUCUUGCACAUGUAGCGCUGUCAAUUGUGCUGCUGUGGAGAAGGUAAGCAGCACCAAGUUCCUGGGUGUGCACAUCUCAGAAGAUCUCUCCUGGUCAAAACACACAGCAUCGCUGGUCAGUAAAGUCCAACAGCGACUCUACUUCCUCCACAAACUGAGGAGAGCACGAGCCUCAACCCCCACUAUGAGCACUGUUGAGAGUAUCCACACCAGCUGCAUCACUAUGUGGACAUCUACAGGUGACUGCACUCAUCCAUCCAAAAGCUUCUUCAGUUUGCUGAGGAAGGAGACUGAAGAGCCUCCAGGCCAGAACCAGCAGGCUGAGACAGCUUCGUCCAUCAGGCUGCUCUCACACACACACAAACUCCAGACCUGCAUUCACUUCUUCCCUCUGAACCCCCCAAACAUACAAAACUCUGAACCGCCUCCAUUGCCUUUUCACUGACUGCCCCACCCCACUCGCACACGAACUUGCACACAAUCACUAUGAUUGUGUUGGACACUGCUGUUUAUAUAAGAUUGUAUAGUAUUGUAUUGUGUUGUACAG